Molecule: ribosomal RNA, 460 nt
Filed under: uncultured bacterium
Lineage: Bacteria
Description: partial 16S ribosomal RNA
Rfam family: Bacterial small subunit ribosomal RNA
Source: RNAcentral
CCUACGGGUGGCUGCAGUGAGGAAUAUUGGUCAAUGGGCGCGAGCCUGACCCAGCCAAGUAGCGUGAAGGAUGACUGCCCUACGGGUUGUAAACUUCUUUUAUAAAGGAAUAAAGUGAGGCACGUGUGCCUUUUUGUGUGUACUUUAUGAAUAAGGAUCGGCUAACUCCGUGCCAGCAGCCGCGGUAAUACGGAGGAUCCGAGCGUUAUCCGGAUUUAUUGGGGUUAAAGGGAGCGUAGAUGGGUUGUUAAGUCAGUUGUGAAAGUUUGCGGCUCAACCGUAAAAUUGCAACUGAUACUGGCAGCCUUGAGUGCAGUUGAGGUAGGCGGAAUUCGUGGUGUAGCGGUGAAAUGCUUAGAUAUCACGAAGAACUCCGAGUGCGAAGGCAGCUUACUAAACUGCCACUGACAUUGAUGCUCGAAAGUGUGGGUAUCAAACAGGAUUAGAUACCCCGGUAGUC